Long non-coding RNA from Telopea speciosissima, 189 nucleotides. RefSeq lists it as uncharacterized. The transcript has 3 exons. The record is from RefSeq and is a predicted model, not a curated record. NCBI's taxonomy places the organism in Eukaryota, Viridiplantae, Streptophyta, Magnoliopsida, Proteales, Proteaceae.
GGUUCUAAUGGGAUUUACUUUGUGACUGAACUAACCGAACCUAAUCAUGCGGAUGUAAUUGGCUUAUUAAUUUGACACAUCAUGGGUAGCAAGAGGUUAUGGAUAAACAGAGAAACAAUCUCUGGUUCUAAUGGUACUAAUGUAAGUUGAAAAUUUUUAAGUUUUCAGUGAGCCAGUCAUCCCAAGCUG